GAUGAACGCUAGCUACAGGCUUAACACAUGCAAGUCGAGGGGUAACGAGAGGAAAGCUUGCUUUCCUUGUCGACGACCGGCGCACGGGUGAGUAACGCGUAUCCAACCUGCCCCCAACUAGGGAAUAACCUUGCGAAGGUAAGACUAAUACCCUAUAAUUUCCUCAGAUGACAUCUGACGAGGAAUAAAGAUUUAACGGUUGUGGAUGGGGAUGCGUCUGAUUAGCUUGUUGGCGGGGUAACGGCCCACCAAGGCAACGAUGAGUGGGGGUUCUGAGAGGAAGGUCCCCCACAUUGGAACUGAGACACGGUCCAAACUCCUACGGGAGGCAGCAGUGAGGAAUAUUGGUCAAUGGGCGGAAGCCUGAACCAGCCAAGUAGCGUGCAGGAUGACGGCCCUAUGGGUUGUAAACUGCUUUUAUACAGGAAUAAAGUUAGCCACGUGUGGUUAUUUGUAGGUACUGUAUGAAUAAGGACCGGCUAAUUCCGUGCCAGCAGCCGCCGUAA
RNAcentral lists this ribosomal RNA (506 nucleotides) under uncultured bacterium. Its description in RNAcentral is "partial 16S ribosomal RNA". It matches the Rfam family "Bacterial small subunit ribosomal RNA", at positions 28 to 523 of the family's 1533-position model. The record is from RNAcentral.